This 358-nucleotide ribosomal RNA is filed under the name uncultured bacterium. RNAcentral describes it as "bacterial SSU rRNA". It matches the Rfam family "Bacterial small subunit ribosomal RNA", at positions 8 to 353 of the family's 1533-position model. The record is from RNAcentral.
AGAGUUUGAUCAUGGCUCAGGAUGAACGCUAGCUACAGGCUUAACACAUGCAAGUCGAGGGGAAACGAUAUUGGAAGCUUGCUUCCGAUAGGCGUCGACCGGCGUACGGGUGAGUAACGCGUAUCCAACCUGCCCACCACUUGGGGAUAACCUUGCGAAAGUAAGACUAAUACCCAAUGACGUCGUCUAGAAGACAUCUGAAAGAGAUUAAAGAUUUAUCGGUGAUGGAUGGGGGAUGCGUCUGAUUAGCUUGUUGGCGGGGUAACGGCCCACCAAGGCGACGAUCAGUAGGGGUUCUGAGAGGAAGGUCCCCCACAUUGGAACUGAGACACGGUCCAAACUCCUACGAGAGGCAGCA